This 253-nucleotide ribosomal RNA is filed under the name uncultured bacterium. RNAcentral describes it as "partial 16S ribosomal RNA". It matches the Rfam family "Bacterial small subunit ribosomal RNA", at positions 524 to 776 of the family's 1533-position model. The record is from RNAcentral.
UACGAAGGGGGCUAGCGUUGUUCGGAAUUACUGGGCGUAAAGGGCGCGUAGGCGGCGUGUCAAGUCAGGCGUGAAAGCCCCGGGCUCAACCUGGGAACCGCGCUUGAGACUGGCAUGCUCGAGUUCGGGAGAGGAUGGUGGAAUUCCCAGUGUAGAGGUGAAAUUCGUAGAUAUUGGGAAGAACACCGGUGGCGAAGGCGGCGACCUGGUCCGAUACUGACGCUGAGGCGCGAAAGCGUGGGGAGCAAACAGG